UACGUAGGGGGCAAGCGUUGUUCGGAAUUACUGGGCGUAAAGCGUGCGCAGGCGGUGAUGUAAGUCAGAUGUGAAAUCCCCGGGCUCAACCUGGGAACUGCAUUUGUGACUGCACGGCUGGAGUGCGGCAGAGGGGGAUGGAAUUCCGCGUGUAGCGGUGAAAUGCGUAGAUAUGCGGAGGAACACCGAUGGCGAAGGCAAUCCCCUGGGCCUGCACUGACGCUCAUGCACGAAAGCGUGGGGAGCAAACAGG
Molecule: ribosomal RNA, 253 nt
Filed under: uncultured bacterium
Lineage: Bacteria
Description: partial 16S ribosomal RNA
Rfam family: Bacterial small subunit ribosomal RNA
Source: RNAcentral